GUAGGGUGGCAAGCGUUGUCCGGAAUUAUUGGGGCGUUAAAGCGCGCGCAGGCGGUCCUUUAAGUCUGAUGUGAAAGCCCACGGCUCAACCGUGGAGGGUCAUUGGAAACUGGGGGACUUGAGUACAGAAGAGGAAAGCGGAAUUCCAAGUGUAGCGGUGAAAUGCGUAGAGAUUUGGAGGAACACCAGUGGCGAAGGCGGCUUUCUGGUCUGUAACUGACGCUGAGGCGCGAAAACGUGGGGAGCAAACAGGAUUAGAUACCCUGGUAGUCCACGCCGUAAACGAUGAGUGCUAAGUGUUAGGGGGUUUCCGCCCCUUAGUGCUGCAGCUAACGCAUUAAGCACUCCGCCUGGGGAGUACGGCCGCAAAGGCUG
This 375-nucleotide ribosomal RNA is filed under the name uncultured organism. Its description in RNAcentral is "partial 16S ribosomal RNA". It matches the Rfam family "Bacterial small subunit ribosomal RNA", at positions 526 to 896 of the family's 1533-position model. The record is from RNAcentral.